Molecule: ribosomal RNA, 254 nt
Filed under: uncultured bacterium
Lineage: Bacteria
Description: partial 16S ribosomal RNA
Rfam family: Bacterial small subunit ribosomal RNA
Source: RNAcentral
UACGUAGGGAGCAAGCGUUGUUCGGAUUUACUGGGCGUAAAGGGCGCGUAGGCGGCCUCCGCAAGUCAGUUGUGAAAUCUCCGAGCUUAACUCGGAAAGGUCAACUGAUACUGCGGGGCUAGAGUGCGGAAGGGGCAACUGGAAUUCUUGGUGUAGCGGUGAAAUGCGUAGAUAUCAAGAGGAACACCUGCGGCGAAGACGGGUUGCUGGGCCGACACUGACGCUGAGGCGCGAAAGCUAGGGGAGCGAACGGG